This 255-nucleotide ribosomal RNA is filed under the name Acinetobacter baumannii. Its description in RNAcentral is "partial 16S ribosomal RNA". It matches the Rfam family "Bacterial small subunit ribosomal RNA", at positions 626 to 880 of the family's 1533-position model. The record is from RNAcentral. Lineage: Bacteria; Pseudomonadati; Pseudomonadota; Gammaproteobacteria; Moraxellales; Moraxellaceae.
UUCGAUACUGGUGAGCUAGAGUAUGGGAGAGGAUGGUAGAAUUCCAGGUGUAGCGGUGAAAUGCGUAGAGAUCUGGAGGAAUACCGAUGGCGAAGGCAGCCAUCUGGCCUAAUACUGACGCUGAGGUACGAAAGCAUGGGGAGCAAACAGGAUUAGAUACCCUGGUAGUCCAUGCCGUAAACGAUGUCUACUAGCCGUUGGGGCCUUUGAGGCUUUAGUGGCGCAGCUAACGCGAUAAGUAGACCGCCUGGGGAG